RNAcentral lists this ribosomal RNA (429 nucleotides) under Gemmatimonadota bacterium. RNAcentral's name for it is "Gemmatimonadetes bacterium partial 16S ribosomal RNA". It matches the Rfam family "Bacterial small subunit ribosomal RNA", at positions 355 to 776 of the family's 1533-position model. The record is from RNAcentral. Lineage: Bacteria; Pseudomonadati; Gemmatimonadota.
CAGGGAAUCUUUGGCAAUGGACGAAAGUCUGACCGAGCAACGCCGCGUGAGUGAAGAAGGUUUUCGGAUCGUAAAACUCUGUUGUUAGCGAAGAACAAGGACGUUAGUAACUGAACGUCCCCUGACGGUAUCUAACCAGAAAGCCACGGCUAACUACGUGCCAGCAGCCGCGGUAAUACGGAGGUGGCAAGCGUUGUCCGGAUUUAUUGGGCGUAAAGCGAGCGCAGGCGGUUUCUUAAGUCUGAUGUGAAAGCCCCCGGCUCAACCGGGGAGGGUCAUUGGAAACUGGGAUACUUGAGUGCAGAGGAGGAGAGUGGAAUUCCAUGUGUAGCGGUAAAAUGCGUAGAUAUAUAGAGGAACACCAGUGGCGAAGGCGGCUCUCUAGUCUGUAACUGACACUGAGGCACGAAAGCGUGGGGAGCAAACAGG